Molecule: ribosomal RNA, 380 nt
Filed under: uncultured eukaryote
Lineage: Eukaryota
Description: partial 18S ribosomal RNA
Rfam family: Eukaryotic small subunit ribosomal RNA
Source: RNAcentral
CAAUAGCGUAUAUUAAAGUUGUUGCGGUUAAAAAGCUCGUAGUUGGAUUUCUGCCGAGGACGACCGGUCCGCCCUCUGGGUGUGUAUCUGGUUUGGCCUGGGCAUCUUCUUGGAGAACGUAGCUGCACUUGACUGUGUGGUGCGGUGUCCAGGACUUUUACUUUGAGGAAAUUAGAGUGUUUCAAGCAGGCACACGCCUUGAAUACAUUAGCAUGGAAUAAUAAGAUAGGACCUCGGUUCUAUUUUGUUGGUUUCUAGAGCUGAGGUAAUGAUUAAUAGGGAUAGUUGGGGGCAUUCGUAUUUAACUGGCAGAGGUGAAAUUCUUGGAUUUGUUAAAGACGGACUACUGCGAAAGCAUUUGCCAAGGAUGUUUUCAUUGA